GACGAACGCUGGCGGCGUGCUUAACACAUGCAAGUCGAACGGAAAGGCCCCUUUGGGGGUACUCGAGUGGCGGACGGGUGAGUAACACGUGAGUAACCUGCCCUUGACUUCGGGAUAACUUCAGGAAACUGGGGCUAAUACCGGAUAGGAAUCAUUGCUGCAUGGGGGGGGUUGGAAAGCUUCGGAGGUUCUGGAUGGACUGGCAGGUUAUCAGCUUGUUGGGGGGGUAGUGGCUUACCAAGGCUUUGACGGGUAGCCGGCCUGAGAGGGCGACCGGCCACAUUGGGACUGAGAGACGGCCCAGACUCCUACGGGAGGCAGCAGGGGGGAAGAUUGCACAAUGGGCGGAAGGCUGAUGCAGCAACGCCGCGUGCGGGAUGACGGCCUUCGUGUUGUAAACCGCUUUCAGCAGGGGCGAAGCUUGUGGUGACGGUACCUGCAGAAGAAGCACCGGCUAACUACGUG
This 465-nucleotide ribosomal RNA is filed under the name uncultured bacterium. RNAcentral's name for it is "partial 16S ribosomal RNA". It matches the Rfam family "Bacterial small subunit ribosomal RNA", at positions 28 to 507 of the family's 1533-position model. The record is from RNAcentral.